This 468-nucleotide ribosomal RNA is filed under the name uncultured bacterium. Its description in RNAcentral is "partial 16S ribosomal RNA". It matches the Rfam family "Bacterial small subunit ribosomal RNA", at positions 28 to 507 of the family's 1533-position model. The record is from RNAcentral.
GACGAACGCUGGCGGCGUGCUUAACACAUGCAAGUCGAACGGAAAGGCCCUGCUUUUGUGGGGUGCUCGAGUGGCGAACGGGUGAGUAACACGUGAGUAACCUGCCCUUGACUUUGGGAUAACUUCAGGAAACUGGGGCUAAUACCGGAUAGGAGCUCCUGCUGCAUGGUGGGGGUUGGAAAGUUUCGGCGGUUGGGGAUGGACUCGCGGCUUAUCAGCUUGUUGGUGGGGUAGUGGCUUACCAAGGCUUUGACGGGUAGCCGGCCUGAGAGGGUGACCGGCCACAUUGGGACUGAGAUACGGCCCAGACUCCUACGGGAGGCAGCAGUGGGGAAUAUUGCACAAUGGGCGGAAGCCUGAUGCAGCAACGCCGCGUGCGGGAUGACGGCCUUCGGGUUGUAAACCGCUUUCGCCUGUGACGAAGCGUGAGUGACGGUAAUGGGUAAAGAAGCAGCGGCUAACUACGUG